GAUAUUGUUAAAAAACAGCUUGUGCAUCAUCUCUCUUUUAUCUCAAAAGUGUGAUGCCCCUCUACCUUAAACACUACAGGAGUCACCCAAAGGAGGCUUUUGGCUUCUGGGCCGUAACCCACACCCAUAAAUCUACACUCAGACCAUUAAGCAUUGUGUUGACCAUCAUCCUGCCCAGUCAAUAAAUCAAUCAUGUUCAUGUGUUUGGAAGCCUGUAAAUCCUCAGUGUCGGCCUGAGGAAGCAGCUUUCUCAUUCAGUCACGGAAGGGGGUGUUGAGGUUUAUUAGAAGUGAAGUAAGUACAGCGUUUAAACCCUGAGCCUCACAUACAUGUUUUCUGACUUUUAUAUAGAGUGUUACCUAAACCUUCUGUAUGCUAUUUUUAGUCUAAUGAAGGUACAUAAAGUGUCUUCUACUGUAAAUAGAGUUGCUGCCAUAAAAAAACAUCUCAUGAGCAGUUCUGUCUUAGUAAUAGCUUGAUUUUUCAUACAUAUGUUUGGAUACUUUAUGAGAAUUUCAAUAGCAUUUAGGGCCUUGAGUGGCAUGAAUAAUGAAGGGAAAGAAGGUAAAGGAUAUGAAAAAUACACAGUGUAAGGUGGACUACUGGAAAAAAGAGAUAAUGAAUAAAAAAAGAAUGCAGUAAACGGAAGACUGUGUCCAAUAUAGUCACCUUCUUGAAAAAAAAAAAAGUCAGAAUUUUCACAUUUUUUCAAAAAGCAGAAAAAACUAAACCAAAUAUAUGAGUGUAUGAUAUUUUUUUGUUUUUAGAAAAACCUGAAACUGAUUACUAAGGCCAUUAUUGAUAGAAGAUGAUGAUAUAUUGUAAAUUUAGCUGAAUUCAAUUAGUACAAUAGAGUUAUGGGUGCAAAAAUAUAUUAUUUAAAGGAAUAUAUUAAAGAAAAGUGCACCAUAACAAACCACAUUACUAGUGCUGUAUGUGUGUGUCUCAAGGGUUGGAGGAGUCCGAGUGAUGGGGUGCUGAUGUACAGUAUGUUCAUCAUGUUUCAGUGCGAACGCUGUGUGAGUCCAUUAUGGCCGACUGCAGAGGAUGUGAGGUUAAGUGGUGCCAGUGGACGCAGAGACGACCGAGGGAGACCUGACAGCUGGUACGAGUGAUUAGACCUGUGUAGUGAUGCAGGGAAGGCAUCAAAGCUCUUUAGGAAGAAUCCCUAACAGGGAGGAGGCGAGGGCACACACACACACACACACACACACACACACACACACACACACACUGAUACACAAUUUCCUGGUUGCUAAAACUGCCUUUACUGAACAGUGUAAAGGCCACUCAGGCCAUCUGUCAUUCUCAGAUGCAUCGCUGACCAAUGGAUUAUCAGCAGCUCGGCCCGUGGGCACACACAUACACUAACCCCCCCACUCACCAUAUGAUAGUGGUAAUACAGGAGACUAACUGGUGUCAUUAGAUUUGUCAUGGAAGUUAAUGGAUAUCCUCAUUAAUGUCUCAUGUUAAUGGUUCUUUGUUAUUUUCUCAACUGUGUCUUUGCCAUGUGUAUCACUGUUACCUGUCUUUUCAUAUUAAAGGUAUAAUCCAUUAA
Sphaeramia orbicularis (orbiculate cardinalfish) is the source of this 1558-nucleotide long non-coding RNA. RefSeq lists it as uncharacterized. The transcript is spliced from 2 exons. The record is from RefSeq and is a predicted model, not a curated record. NCBI's taxonomy places the organism in Eukaryota, Metazoa, Chordata, Actinopteri, Kurtiformes, Apogonidae.